This 444-nucleotide long non-coding RNA is filed under the name Coturnix japonica (Japanese quail). Its description in RNAcentral is "lncRNA (ENSCJPG00005010807.1)". The record is from RNAcentral. Lineage: Eukaryota; Metazoa; Chordata; Aves; Galliformes; Phasianidae.
UGAAAUAGUUUUUAUAACCCCUCCCCCACCCUGGUUUUUCAUAACCACUUGGAUUUCCAGCUGGAUAGUCUUUGAGGAUAUAGGUGAAUGCUGCGAGGUGGUCCAGGCGACUCUAUGGAACAUUCUCCAAUGGGCUAGUAGAAUGAGAAGAUCCAAAAGUAGUUUGGAAAACAAGGAGAAACAUCACCUCUCAUGACGGUAAACUUACCGAGAAGGUAAUUCAUGUUAGACUGUUGUUGCACAGCCCGCUCUUAAAGCUCAUGUAUGUAACAUGUAGCAGAAAACUAGUAGGGAAUGCUGUUUGAAUUUUCAUACUAAGUCCUCUGACUUUCUACCCCUUUCCUUGUGUGAGGGAGAAUUUGGAGGCUAUAUUUUAUGGAACUUUUCUUGCUUUCCCUUGAAAUUGUGCAAGAGCAUAAAUAAAAAAUUUACAGUGACUUAACA